GUGAGGAAUUUUCCGCAAUGGGCGAAAGCCUGACGGAGCAAUGCCGCGUGAAGGAUGAAGGCCUAUGGGUUGUAAACUUCUUUUCUCAGAAAAGAAUUAUGACGGUAUCUGAGGAAUAAGCAUCGGCUAACUCUGUGCCAGCAGCCGCGGUAAGACAGAGGAUGCAAGCGUUAUCCGGAAUGAUUGGGCGUAAAGCGUCUGUAGGUUGUUUAAAAAGUAUUCUGUCAAAGAUUAGGGCUUAACCCUAGAUAGGCAGAAUAAACUUUUAAGCUAGAGUUUGGUAGAGGCAGAGGGAAUUCCCGGUGGAGCAGUGAAAUGCGUAGAUAUCGGGAGGAACACCAAAGGCGAAGGCACUCUGCUGGGCCAAUACUAACACUGAGAGACGAAAGCGAGGGGAGCAAAUGGGAUUAGAUACCCCGGUAGUCC
RNAcentral lists this ribosomal RNA (426 nucleotides) under uncultured bacterium. RNAcentral describes it as "partial 16S ribosomal RNA". It matches the Rfam family "Bacterial small subunit ribosomal RNA", at positions 354 to 796 of the family's 1533-position model. The record is from RNAcentral.